AUGAACGCUGGCGGCGUGCCUAAUACAUGCAAGUCGAGCGAACAGAUGAGGAGCUUGCUCCUCUGACGUUAGCGGCGGACGGGUGAGUAACACGUGGAUAACCUACCUAUAAGACUGGGAUGACUUCGGGAAACCGGAGCUAAUACCGGAUAAUAUAUUGAACCGCAUGGUUCAAUAGUGAAAGACGGUUUUGCUGUCACUUAUAGAUGGAUCCGCGCCGCAUUAGCUAGUUGGUAAGGUAACGGCUUACCAAGGCAACGAUGCGUAGCCGACCUGAGAGGGUGAUCGGCCACACUGGAACUGAGACACGGUCCAGACUCCUACGGGAGGCAGCAGUAGGGAAUCUUCCGCAAUGGGCGAAAGCCUGACGGAGCAACGCCGCGUGAGUGAUGAAGGUCUUCGGAUCGUAAAACUCUGUUAUUAGGGAAGAACAAAUGUGUAAGUAACUAUGCACGUCUUGACGGUACCUAAUCAGAAAGCCACGGCUAACUACGUG
RNAcentral lists this ribosomal RNA (496 nucleotides) under uncultured bacterium. RNAcentral describes it as "partial 16S ribosomal RNA". It matches the Rfam family "Bacterial small subunit ribosomal RNA", at positions 29 to 507 of the family's 1533-position model. The record is from RNAcentral.